Molecule: ribosomal RNA, 420 nt
Filed under: uncultured bacterium
Lineage: Bacteria
Description: bacterial SSU rRNA
Rfam family: Bacterial small subunit ribosomal RNA
Source: RNAcentral
CGAGGUGGCGAACGGGUGAGUAAUAUAUCGGAACGUGCCCGGUCGUGGGGGAUAACGUAGCGAAAGCUACGCUAAUACCGCAUACGAUCUAUGGAUGAAAGCGGGGGAUCGCAAGACCUCGCGCGAUUGGAGCGGCCGAUAUCAGAUUAGGUAGUUGGUGAGGUAAAGGCUCACCAAGCCGACGAUCUGUAGCUGGUCUGAGAGGACGACCAGCCACACUGGGACUGAGACACGGCCCAGACUCCUACGGGAGGCAGCAGUGGGGAAUUUUGGACAAUGGGCGCAAGCCUGAUCCAGCAAUGCCGCGUGCAGGAUGAAGGCCUUCGGGUUGUAAACUGCUUUUGUACGGAACGAAACGGUGAGCUCUAAUACAGUUUGCUAAUGACGGUACCGUAAGAAUAAGCACCGGCUAACUACGUG